RNAcentral lists this unclassified non-coding RNA (54 nucleotides) under Yersinia enterocolitica (type O:5,27) str. YE149/02. Lineage: Bacteria; Pseudomonadati; Pseudomonadota; Gammaproteobacteria; Enterobacterales; Yersiniaceae. The record is from RNAcentral.
CAACCUCAAAAAGAAUCUUUUAUACCAGAUUGCUGACAAAGUCCUGGUCCUUGG